GCAUUGGUGGUUCAGUGGUAGAAUGCUGGCCUGCCACGCGGGCGCCCUGGGUUUGAUUCCCGGCCAAUGUA
RNAcentral lists this transfer RNA (71 nucleotides) under Cordylochernes scorpioides. Its description in RNAcentral is "tRNA-Gly". It matches the Rfam family "tRNA". From Rfam's summary of the family: Transfer RNA (tRNA) molecules are approximately 80 nucleotides in length. Their secondary structure includes four short double-helical elements and three loops (D, anti-codon, and T loops). Lineage: Eukaryota; Metazoa; Arthropoda; Arachnida; Pseudoscorpiones; Chernetidae. The record is from RNAcentral.